RNAcentral lists this long non-coding RNA (745 nucleotides) under Phoenix dactylifera (date palm). Its description in RNAcentral is "long non-coding RNA (PDAC_LNC000266)". The record is from RNAcentral. Lineage: Eukaryota; Viridiplantae; Streptophyta; Magnoliopsida; Arecales; Arecaceae.
GAGGAUUACUUUUGAAAUUAGGGUUAUAAAAUUAUUUUUGGAAUUAAAAGAUUGGGAAAUUAAGCCACUUUUACAUAGUUUAAGAAUUAAAGAUAAGAAUGGUUAUUGCUCCCAAAUGCUCUUUAGGAUGAGCACAUAUCAAUUUCUUCGCCAACCAUUUGCUUAAAAGCUAAACAACUAACAAUGAGGAUGAGCAUAUUCAUAAAGUAUAAAAAGGGCGGCUUAAUGCAAGAGGCUCCCACUAUUGUGGCAUCUGGGAAGAGCUACAUGUAUAUAGCUUGGCACAAAACUUUUGUCAUUGUUUUAGUUAGGAGUUUGUGGAUGCUAAUGGCCGGAAAGAUUAAAUAUUUGAUGUCGCUAGGGUUAGAAGUAUAGCCUCCUCAUAAUCCAUCAUUCCAUCAUUAAGGUAUCCAUAUCCUCCUAGGGGAGGAGUGGAUAAUAUUCUUUGGAAAGCCAAACUUACACCUAUUACACUUACCUAAAUGCACUACACAUGAACCAGACCUAGACCUCUUGCGCUUGCUUGAAUGCAAAAUACCAUGACUUGCAAAUUUCGCUCCUUUGUUGCAAAAUGGACACACAUAAAGAAGCGAGAAGAUUUCCAAGUAUUCUGCAUCCAUAAAGACACUUGAAUUACAUUCUCCAUGACCUAUACGACAAUAUCAUUAUUAGCUAAAAAAUUGGCUGCUUCAUUUUAAUGGGGGAUUUAAAAGACUAGGAUGUCUUAGGUAUUUGAUAACUUAAU